UAGGUAAUAGUUAAAAUCUUUAAAAUUAAAAAAUUUGGCGGUAUUUUAGUCCUUUCAGAGGAACCUGUCCUAUAAUUGAUAGUCCACGAUUAGUAUUACUUAUAUUAAAAAUUUGUAUAUCGUUGUAGUUGAAUAUUUCUUAAGAAUAAAAAUGUUCAUUAUAUUUAAUAAAAAUUUUAAAUCAAAUCAAGGUGCAGUUUAUAUAUAAGAAGAGAUGGGUUACAAAAUUUAUAUAUGUGAAUUUUUAAUUUAAAAUUAAAUUGAAAAUGGAUUUGAAAGUAAUUUUCUAAAUUUAUGGAAAAUGAUU
RNAcentral lists this ribosomal RNA (307 nucleotides) under Gyrophaena flavicornis. RNAcentral describes it as "partial 12S ribosomal RNA". Lineage: Eukaryota; Metazoa; Arthropoda; Insecta; Coleoptera; Staphylinidae. The record is from RNAcentral.